GAUGAACGUUGGCGGCGUGCCUAAUACAUGCAAGUCGAACGAAGACUGUAGUAAUACUGUCUUAGUGGCGAACGGGUGAGUAACGCGUGGGUGACCUGCCCCGAAGUGUGGGAUAACAGUUCGAAAGGAUUGCUAAUACUGCAUAAUAUCCAAGAGAUUAGACGCUUUUGGAUUAAAGGAGUAAUUCGCUUCGGGAGGGGCCCGCGUCCCAUCAGCUAGUUGGUAAGGUAAUGGCUUACCAAGGCGAUGACGGGUAGGGGACCUGAGAGGGUGGCCCCCCACAAUGGAACUGAAACACGGUCCAUACACCUACGGGUGGCAGCAGUAGGGAAUAUUAGUAAUGGGCGAAAGCCUGAACUAGCAAACGCCGCGUGUGCGAAGAAGGCCUUCGGUUGUAAAGCACUUUUGUAGAGGAUGAGGAAGGACGGUACGUCUCAGAAUAAGUCUCGGCUAACUACGUGCCAGCAGCGCGUAAAAGUCACGUCG
RNAcentral lists this ribosomal RNA (486 nucleotides) under uncultured bacterium. RNAcentral's name for it is "bacterial SSU rRNA". It matches the Rfam family "Bacterial small subunit ribosomal RNA", at positions 28 to 531 of the family's 1533-position model. The record is from RNAcentral.